UGUCAAAUUGCACUACCAAACAAAUUUGAGAUGGUCUUGCCCUUUAUAUUAUCCGAAAUAUAGUUACAAAAGGUCACUGCUCAGAAGACUUUCCAGACUACUUAUAGUUAAGUCGUCCAACAUUCCAGACGACUUAACUGUAAGUCUUCUGCGCAGAAUAUAGUUACAAAAUAGGGAUCAAGUUCAAAUACAAAAUAGGGAUCAAGUUCAAAUACACACAUCAGCCUAAUCUAUCAUACAAAAUAAUCUAAAGUGGCCUGUUUAUCACCCGUCAUACGUACCCAGGAUGUCAUCCAUGUCCUUGUUUUCGAACUCAUGCGCGUCAGGAAGCUCUUGAAAUAUAUCCACCGCCAUCUUAUCC
This 361-nucleotide long non-coding RNA is filed under the name Brassica napus (rape). Its description in RNAcentral is "long non-coding RNA (BNAP_LNC009354)". Lineage: Eukaryota; Viridiplantae; Streptophyta; Magnoliopsida; Brassicales; Brassicaceae. The record is from RNAcentral.